This 484-nucleotide ribosomal RNA is filed under the name uncultured bacterium. RNAcentral's name for it is "bacterial SSU rRNA". It matches the Rfam family "Bacterial small subunit ribosomal RNA", at positions 28 to 507 of the family's 1533-position model. The record is from RNAcentral.
GACGAACGCUGGCGGGCGUGCCUAACACAUGCAAGUCGAGCGGAGUCGAUCGACGGAAGCCUUCGGGCGGAAGAUGGUUGACUUAGCGGCGGAUGGGUGAGUAACGCGUGGGCAACCUGCCUCGAAGACCGGGAUAACAGCCCGAAAGGGCUGCUAAUACCGGAUGUGGUCAAGGAUCCGCAUGGAUUUUUGAUUAAAGGGGAAACCCGUUUCGAGAUGGGCCCGCGUCCUAUCAGCUAGUUGGUGAGGUAAAAGCUCACCAAGGCGACGACGGGUAGCCGGCCUGAGAGGGUGACCGGCCACACUGGAACUGAGACACGGUCCAGACUCCUACGGGGGGCAGCAGUGGGGAAUCUUCCACAAUGGGCGAAAGCCUGAUGGAGCGACGCCGCGUGAGCGAAGAAGGCCUUCGGGUUGUAAAGCUCUGUCUGGAGGGACGAAGGAAGUGACGGUACCUCCGGAGGAAGCCACGGCUAACUACGUG